This 2573-nucleotide small RNA is filed under the name Drosophila pseudoobscura pseudoobscura. RNAcentral describes it as "GA32780". The record is from RNAcentral. Lineage: Eukaryota; Metazoa; Arthropoda; Insecta; Diptera; Drosophilidae.
AAUACAAUGAAUAAAUUUGAACUGUCAUUAGAUAUUUGUUCACUAAUUGAUGGGUCAAAACAGUAAGUCCCCUCAGCGUCGUAUUAAUAAAUAAGAAACAAUCAAUCAACUCAAUUCAUUUUAUUCCCAUUUGAGUUAUUGUCACUCUUCGCCGAAUAGUAAUUAUGGGUCAUUAUGGUUGUAAUUAAAUUUCAAUUUCCCAAAAGACAAAUCAUUGCAUUGAGGUUUGAAUGCGAACGAUUAGGACUCCAUUUACGACAAAGGCAUUCUUUUAGGACAUGUACUUAAAAAGUAUGGGAACUAAAAUCAAUGGCUUCAUCUAUAGACAUGGAAAUUGAUAAUUUUGAAUUAAUAUUUAUAGUUGUUUGCUAAGACUUUUGGUUAAUCUAACAUUUUAUGUUAUGAAUGCAAAUGCCGCGGCAGUCCGUCGGAACUCCGGGACGGCUCUGAUGCUCAUAAUAUUUGCGUGGAAAUGUUAUCUGAACAACCGGCUGUGGCAACAAAUGUAUUUGCCGUUCUGUUCUCCUGUUUGCUGCAGUUUAUAAUUUAUAAAAGUAUGUACUCAUACCAUACGAAUUUUUUAAUUACUGUCGGUCGUGCGCAAAGUGAGAGCAAAUGUUGACUCGGAGAACAACGUCACGUGCCAGUAAAAUCACUCUGGAGACCGCCUUUGGAGCGAGUAGUCAUGUGAUAGGAUCGUUGCAGACGCACGCUCCAGAUAAACCGCAAGAGUGCGGUAUGUUUUGGGUGUGUUAGUGGAUGGAAGGGAAUAUUGUAGGGUUUGUUGCCUAAGACAAACCAACAAAUGACUUAUAAGUACAUAGGAAUACAUGUGUAUGUACAUUGUACAUUGUACAUAUGUCCAAGUGCAGACCCCAAGGCACGGGUCUGCCAGCGGGUCUUAUCUAACCAGAAGACACAGGGCAAAGCUUCAAAGCCUCAUUUGUCACAUGAUAAAUGACCGAGCUCAAAGCGUCAAAAGCCCUGUAGCUUUUGGCGUUCAUUUUGUUGAUUGCCAAAGUCCCACAUUUAAUUGAUAAUGAACAAAAGUCAGGUGGAAUGCAUUUAUCAAAGGAAAGUUCCUAACUCCCGUAUCCGAUUGCCUCCCCUUGUGACAGUCAACAAAAAAUUUUGAGUGCGAGUCACAAAAUCAAGCAAAAAUCAAGGCCCGCAUGACGUAUGCAAAUCACGUAUACGCCGUGUCUCGCAUACAUAGGAAUUGGAGGGAGCCGUGGCCGUGUCGAGUCCGGUCCAUGCACGAUCCUUUGAUAACUUAGCAGUCAGGUGCAAAUUUCGGGCCAUAUUUAACACCUUUCCUUUUAUAAUACGUAAUCAUGCGAGAACUGCUGGACGCCAGCUGGAAAACCUAUGAAGAUACUCAUCUCUUCUCAACCAGAGGCUGAUUUGCUGCUUUCUGAUGUAAAUGUUUCAAGUAAGAUCACCUGGCGACGUUUCUCCUGUAUUUUGUAUAGCCUGUGUGUCUGCUCUGCUAACAAUGGAUGGUGUGGUGUCUAAAUAACCGUAGGAGUGGGUAAACAAUAGCAAGAAAUGGCACACCUGGGCAAACAGUAUAAAAAUAAAGGAAAAUACACAGAAAGCUAUGGAAAGGGAAGGGUUGGGAUGGGAAGGGAAGGGAAGGGGAAGCGGAGAACGCGCCUGCAAUUGGCGAAAAGUAACUCAAUCCAUACACGAAAGGCAAACAAAAUACUGUAGAUCCAUUUAUUUUCAUUCAAUGGGAAAUGGAAACUCGAAUGCUAUCCAAACACAUUCCAUCGACUUGGAGUUUAUUUUGUUCCAGUUUAGAUCAGAAACAAUAAAGUAACAAUAAAUUUCUCCGAAUUGUGGUCAUUAAUGCUGCGAUAGAAUCCAAUAGUUUUCAAUUGCAUUGAAUAUCGUAUCCUAUCCCCCCGGGCCGACACCAGCUGAAAGUUGUCUUCGAGAACAGGUUCCGGAAGCGAGUACACGCCCGCCCGCCAAACGGAAUCUAUAAUGAUCUUUCGCUGGAGUCUCGACGAAUCGAACUUUUCCCCCAAUAGCCGCAGUCUCGAUUUCCUUUCCCCAUUCCACCUGAGCCAGAGAACGAUUCCGGACAAAGCUUGCUGUCAUCCAAAUACAUCCAUUUAAGUUGAACAAAAAGUAUCUUGCCAUAAAAGCAAGGAGAGGAGGAGAAUGCUAAUAAAAAGAGAGAGAUACUCAGCGAAAUACUCAUUUCGACAGGCACAAAAACUUAAAAACAAAAUAAAACAGAAAACAGAAAAUACAAUUGCAAUUAGCAUUCACGUUUUUACGAAUUUACGAGUUAAGCGAUUCUAAGCGAGUCUUGCAUGAUAAUAUCUGGGGGAAUCAUCGGAAAUGGAGGGAAUCAUGAGUUGGUUGCGUGUUCCUUUCACGACAAAUGUCGCCUGGCCUGGGGACGAUCGUAAGGAAGUUCUCGUUAAAACUGGUUUGGGGCAAGUACCUCCACUUCCCAGUGCCCAGUAGCCAUCCCAAAAGCGGGCUUUUAUCCCGAUUUAUGAGUCAGGCCAAUUCUGAUGAUAUAAUGUCGGGAGGGGUCUGGGUCUGGGUCUGGGUCU